AACGAACGCUGGCGGCAUGCCUAACACAUGCAAGUCGAACGAAACCUUCGGGACUAGUGGCCCACGGGUGCGUAACGCGUGGGAAUCUGCACUUGGGGUCGGGAUAACUGUUGGAAAGGACUGCUAAUACCGGAUGAUGGCUUCGGUCGAAAGAUUUAUCGCGCAGGGAUGAGCCCGCGUCGGAUUAGCUAGUUGGUAAGGUAAGAGCUCACUAAGGCGCCGAUCCGCAGCUGGGUUGAGAGGAUGAUCAGCCACACUGGGACUGAGAAACGGCCCAGAAUCCUACGCGAGGCAGCAGUGGGGAAUAGUGCACAAUCGGCGAAGGCAUGAACCAGCACUGCCGCGAGAGCGAUGAAGGCCUUAGGGUUGUAAAGCUCUUUUAACCGGGAUGGUAAUGACGGUACCGGAAGAAUAAGCCCCGGCUAACUCCGUG
Molecule: ribosomal RNA, 433 nt
Filed under: uncultured bacterium
Lineage: Bacteria
Description: partial 16S ribosomal RNA
Rfam family: Bacterial small subunit ribosomal RNA
Source: RNAcentral